Molecule: ribosomal RNA, 253 nt
Filed under: uncultured bacterium
Lineage: Bacteria
Description: partial 16S ribosomal RNA
Rfam family: Bacterial small subunit ribosomal RNA
Source: RNAcentral
UACGAAGGGGGCUAGCGUUGCUCGGAAUCACUGGGCGUAAAGCGCACGUAGGCGGAUUGUUAAGUCAGGGGUGAAAUCCUGGAGCUCAACUCCAGAACUGCCUUUGAUACUGGCGAGCUUGAGUCCGGGAGAGGGGAGUGGAACUGCGAGUGUAGAGGUGAAAUUCGUAGAUAUUCGCAAGAACACCAGUGGCGAAGGCGGCUCACUGGCCCGGUACUGACGCUGAGGUGCGAAAGCGUGGGGAGCAAACAGG